Molecule: ribosomal RNA, 637 nt
Filed under: uncultured bacterium
Lineage: Bacteria
Description: bacterial SSU rRNA
Rfam family: Bacterial small subunit ribosomal RNA
Source: RNAcentral
GCUCAACCGAGGAAGUGCUUCGAAAACUGGUAAACUUGAGUGCAGAAGAGGAAAGUGGAACUCCAUGUGUAGCGGUGGAAUGCGUAGAUAUAUGGAAGAACACCAGUGGCGAAGGCGGCUUUCUGGUCUGUAACUGACGCUGAGAUUCGAAAGCAUGGGUAGCAAACAGGAUUAGAUACCCUGGUAGUCCAUGCCGUAAACGAUGAGUGCUAAGUGUUGGAGGGUUUCCGCCCUUCAGUGCUGCAGCUAACGCAUUAAGCACUCCGCCUGGGGAGUACGAUCGCAAGAUUGAAACUCAAAGGAAUUGACGGGGGCCCGCACAAGCGGUGGAGCAUGUGGUUUAAUUCGAAGCAACGCGAAGAACCUUACCAGGUCUUGACAUACCAUGAAAAGCUAAGAGAUUAGUCUUUCCCUUCGGGGACGUGGAUACAGGUGGUGCAUGGUUGUCGUCAGCUCGUGUCGUGAGAUGUUGGGUUAAGUCCCGCAACGAGCGCAACCCUUAUUAUCAGUUGCCAGCAUUCAGUUGGGCACUCUGGUGAGACUGCCGGUGACAAACCGGAGGAAGGUGGGGACGACGUCAAAUCAUCAUGCCCCUUAUGACCUGGGCUACACACGUGCUACAAUGGUCGGUACAACG